GACGAACGCUGGCGGCGUGCUUAACACAUGCAAGUCGAGCGGUAAGGCCCUUUCGGGGGUACACGAGCGGCGAACGGGUGAGUAACACGUGGGUGACCUGCCCUCAGCUCUGGGAUAAGCCUGGGAAACUGGGUCUAAUACUGGAUAUGACUCCACGGUGCAUGUCGUGGGGUGGAAAGCCUUGUGCGGCUGAGGAUGGGCCCGCGGCCUAUCAGCUUGUUGGUGGGGUGAGGCCUACCAAGGCGACGACGGGUAGCCGGCCUGAGAGGGCGACCGGCCACACUGGGACUGAGACGCGGCCCAGACUCCUACGGGAGGCAGCAGUGGGGAAUCUUGCGCAAUGGGCGAAAGCCUGACGCAGCGACGCCGCGUGAGGGAUGACGG
RNAcentral lists this ribosomal RNA (384 nucleotides) under uncultured bacterium. Its description in RNAcentral is "bacterial SSU rRNA". It matches the Rfam family "Bacterial small subunit ribosomal RNA", at positions 28 to 414 of the family's 1533-position model. The record is from RNAcentral.